AGAAGACAACAAAAGUCCAUGAAGAACAGGGCACUUCUCAGCAACCCUCAAGGAAGCAAUUGAACUAAAGCUUGAAAACCAUGGGGUCACUGAGAGAAGGAGCCUGAAGAGAGAAAAGGAUGAAGGACCCAAAAAAGACUAACAUUUAACAGAUGGGAUGUGAAACAGAACCAGUUCCAGAAACCUAUGGAGAAAGCACAUGGAGAUAAUUAGUUCUACUUCCAGAGAGGGUAAACAUAUCACAAAUUUUUGUGACAUUGAAGAAAGAAGAGUUUCUUGAGCCAUCACUUUAUUAAUCUGCAAAGACUUCAUUGAUCUGUAUGACUUUGGCAUCCCUUUGAAUU
RNAcentral lists this long non-coding RNA (344 nucleotides) under Homo sapiens (human). RNAcentral's name for it is "non-protein coding lnc-TTLL7-5:2". Lineage: Eukaryota; Metazoa; Chordata; Mammalia; Primates; Hominidae. The record is from RNAcentral.